AUAGGAAACUGGACGUGAUGUGGAAUUAGAUCCUUCUCCCGUGAAGCCACCCAACACUUAUUACAAAUAUAGCAGCAAUGAAUAGGCCACAAAAUGGCUCCACUCACUUUUACCAAUGAAAAGCAAAUGGGGCAGAGCCGCGAGGGGCGGCUGGGGGUCUCCUUCCUCCCCGUGAAGCCGUGAGGAUGCUGGCGCUGGGAGGAGUGGCGGCAGCCUGACACCGAGAGGGCUUUUGUUGAGACGAGACUCGCGGUGUUCCCACUUAACUAUGACAGAUGACGAUGGAGAGGCCGCCCGCCACGCUGCCCCGCAGUGACCCGCGCAAUGCGGACAGCACGAGCGAGCCGGAGCCGGAGCCGGAGCAGGA
Molecule: long non-coding RNA, 367 nt
Organism: Gavialis gangeticus (Gharial)
Lineage: Eukaryota; Metazoa; Chordata; Crocodylia; Gavialidae
Exons: 3
Source: RefSeq, a predicted model, not a curated record